Molecule: non-coding RNA, 124 nt
Organism: Triticum aestivum (bread wheat)
Lineage: Eukaryota; Viridiplantae; Streptophyta; Magnoliopsida; Poales; Poaceae
Source: Rfam
AGCUUACUCCCUCCGUCCGGAAAUACUUGUCCUAGAAAUGGUUGUAUCUAGACUUAUUUUAGUUAUAGAUACAUCCAUUUUCAACCAUUUUAAGACAAGUAUUUCCGGACGGAGGGAAUAUUUA